This 548-nucleotide ribosomal RNA is filed under the name Phyllopteryx dewysea (ruby seadragon). Its description in RNAcentral is "partial 16S ribosomal RNA". It matches the Rfam family "Bacterial large subunit ribosomal RNA", at positions 1816 to 2578 of the family's 2925-position model. Lineage: Eukaryota; Metazoa; Chordata; Actinopteri; Syngnathiformes; Syngnathidae. The record is from RNAcentral.
CGCCUCUUGUUACAUCAAAAUAAGAGGUCCCGCCUGCCCUGUGACUAUAUGUUUAACGGCCGCGGUAUUUUGACCGUGCGAAGGUAGCGCAAUCACUUGUCUUUUAAAUAGAGACCUGUAUGAAUGGCACGACGAGGGCUUAACUGUCUCCUUCUCCAAGUCAAUGAAAUUGAUCUUCCCGUGCAGAAGCGGGAAUAACAACAUAAGACGAGAAGACCCUAUGGAGCUUUAGAUGAAGGGUAAGCUACGUAAGAAACUUGUUUAAAAGAAUAAACCAAGUAAACAUUACCCUAAUAUCUUUGGUUGGGGCGACCGCGGGGUAAAACACAACCCCCGCGAGGAAUGAGGCAUAGGCCUUAAAACCCUGAGCACCAGCUCUAAGUAUCAGAACAUCUGACCUUUAGAUCCGGCAUAGCCGAUCAACGAACCGAGUUACCCUAGGGAUAACAGCGCAAUCCUCUUUCAGAGUCCCUAUCGACAAGAGGGUUUACGACCUCGAUGUUGGAUCAGGACAUCCCAAUGGUGCAGCCGCUAUUAAAGGUUCGUUU